This is a long non-coding RNA of Neopsephotus bourkii (Bourke's parrot), 303 nucleotides long. RefSeq lists it as uncharacterized. The record is from RefSeq and is a predicted model, not a curated record. The transcript has 3 exons. Lineage: Eukaryota; Metazoa; Chordata; Aves; Psittaciformes; Psittacidae.
UGUGGCUGUUGCCAAGGUGGGCUCCAGGAAGCCAUGCUCAGGGGUCCUGCGCAUCAGCACCUCCCCCUCUUGCUCACGUUUGAUCCCUACGUCUGUGGAGCCGUGUUGGAUCGGUGAGCCAGAUGCAGCAACAAAGCUUUAUGACAAAAUUAUUUCAAAGCAAGCCUUUUGCUACAACUACACUGAAGAUGGCAUCACAUCAAGUGCUCUGAAGAUGUAAAAUAUUAUACAUUGUUAUGGAGUAUCACUUUUCAAAAACAAACAAAACCCCAACCAACUGUUCUGCAAACAUCCAAAGAAGCC